GACGAACGCUGGCGGCGUGCUUAACACAUGCAAGUCGAACGAAGUGGCGAACGGGUGAGUAACGCGUAAUCAACCUGCCCUUCAGAGGGGGACAACAGUUGGAAACGACUGCUAAUACCGCAUAUUGAAGGAGGGGAUUGCGUCUGAUUAGCAGGGGGGAGAGGUAACGGCCCACCAAGGCGAUGAUAAGUAGCCGGUCUGAGAGGAGGAACGGCCAAAAUGGGACUUAGGCGCGGCCCAAACUCCUAAGGGAGGCAGAAGGGGGGAAACUUCCGCAAUGGACGAAAGGUUGACGGAGCAACGCCGCGGGAGUGAUGACUGCCUUCGGGUUGUAAAGCUCUGUUUAUCGGGACGCGGUACCGGAAUAGAAAGCCACGGCUAACUACGUGCCAGCAGCCGCGGUAAUUC
Molecule: ribosomal RNA, 408 nt
Filed under: uncultured bacterium
Lineage: Bacteria
Description: partial 16S ribosomal RNA
Rfam family: Bacterial small subunit ribosomal RNA
Source: RNAcentral